AGUCGAGCGGGCCUUUCGGGGUCAGCGGCGGACGGGUGAGUAACGCGUGGGAACGUGCCCUCUGGUUCGGAAUAACUCAGGGAAACUUGAGCUAAUACCGGAUACGCCCUUUUGGGGAAAGGCUUGCUGCCGGAGGAUCGGCCCGCGUCUGAUUAGCUAGUUGGUGAGGUAACGGCUCACCAAGGCGACGAUCAGUAGCUGGUCUGAGAGGAUGAUCAGCCACACUGGGACUGAGACACGGCCCAGACUCCUACGGGAGGCAGCAGUGGGGAAUAUUGGACAAUGGGCGCAAGCCUGAUCCAGCCAUGCCGCGUGAGUGAUGAAGGCCUUAGGGUUGUAAAGCUCUUUUAUCCGGGACGAUAAUGACGGUACCGGAGGAAUAAGCCCCGGCUAACUUCGUGCCAGCAGCCGCGGUAAUACGAAGGGGGCUAGCGUUGCUCGGAAUCACUGGGCGUAAAGGGCGCGUAGGCGGCGUUUUAAGUCGGGGGUGAAAGCCUGUGGCUCAACCACAGAAUGGCCUUCGAUACUGGGACGCUUGAGUAUGGUAGAGGUUGGUGGAACUGCGAGUGUAGAGGUGAAAUUCGUAGAUAUUCGCAAGAACACCGGUGGCGAAGGCGGCUCACUGGA
This 627-nucleotide ribosomal RNA is filed under the name uncultured bacterium. RNAcentral describes it as "bacterial SSU rRNA". It matches the Rfam family "Bacterial small subunit ribosomal RNA", at positions 60 to 733 of the family's 1533-position model. The record is from RNAcentral.